CUCGUGUCACUAUCUCUCUUCGGCGACGAUCUCGCCGUUGAACCGCCGGUGAGCUUCUAAUUUGUGUUCGCCGGCGAGGUCGUGUCACCAUUCUCUUCACGCUUCCAUCUUUGUCGUAAGUGUUGGGUGUAGUGAAUCGACUAUGUUCAAUCAGAAAUAGAUGCUGCUUUUAUGGAGAAUGAACUAGCUUGGUGGAAUUAACGUUGUAGAUCCAAAUUUGUAUGGCGAUUUCACAUUUGAUUUGUGUUUAAGGAACACAUAUAUAUGGUAAGGUUGCAUUUGUGUAUCUUAAGCUUUGGUAGUUUGAAUCUCGUCAAUGUAAUUGAAUUAUACUUAGCUUGUGGGGAGUGAAAAUAUAACGAUAAUGGAUCCUGAGAUUUUGCAUUCGAUUGGUACAAUGGAGGAUCUCUUUGUGAAGUUGAUGAUGAUAUCACGUAUAAGGUUUUAGCAAAGAUGGUGACUGAAGUUUUCAAACUGGAUUAAUUAGUCAAUGCUAUCAAACUUAGUUGUGGAGUUCCUGUAAUGAUGAAGAAGAUGGCAUGGGGUUCUCUGUGUAUAUGCAAAAUGAUUGUCAAGUUCAUACGUUUUGUGAAUACCUUCCUGAAGUUCGUGGAAUCCUUCCUGAAGUUCGUGUAAUCCUUCCUAAUUUUUUGGUGUCUUUCUUACUAAUUUGGAUUUCCUUAACAAUAUGUCUUUCUUUCUAAUUUGAAUGUUUAAGUCCUUUUAUUUAUA
Capsella rubella is the source of this 732-nucleotide long non-coding RNA. RefSeq lists it as uncharacterized. The transcript has 2 exons. The record is from RefSeq and is a predicted model, not a curated record. NCBI's taxonomy places the organism in Eukaryota, Viridiplantae, Streptophyta, Magnoliopsida, Brassicales, Brassicaceae.